GUCUACGGCCAUACUACCCUGAACAAGCCCGAUCCCAUCUGAUCUUGGAAGCUAAGCAGGGUCGGGCCUGGUUAGUACUUGGAUGGGAGACUACUUAGGAAGAGUAGGUGCUGUAGUGU
Molecule: ribosomal RNA, 119 nt
Filed under: Pteropus alecto (black flying fox)
Lineage: Eukaryota; Metazoa; Chordata; Mammalia; Chiroptera; Pteropodidae
Source: RNAcentral